GACGAACGCUGGCGGCGUGCUUAACACAUGCAAGUCGAACGGAGAGGCCCUGCUUUUGUGGGGUGCUCGAGUGGCGAACGGGUGAGUAACACGUGAGUAACCUGCCCUUGACUUUGGGAUAACUUCAGGAAACUGGGGCUAAUACCGGAUAGGAGCUCCUGCUGCAUGGUGGGGGUUGGAAAGUUUCGGCGGUUGGGGAUGGACUCGCGGCUUAUCAGCUUGUUGGUGGGGUAGUGGCUUACCAAGGCUUUGACGGGUAGCCGGCCUGAGAGGGUGACCGGCCACAUUGGGACUGAGAUAUGGCCCAGACUCCUACGGGAGGCAGCAGUGGGGAAUAUUGCACAAUGGGCGGAAGCCUGAUGCAGCAACGCCGCGUGCGGGAUGACGGCCUUCGGGUUGUAAACCGCUUUCGCCUGUGACGAAGCGUGAGUGACGGUAAUGGGUAAAGAAGCACCGGCUAACUACGUG
RNAcentral lists this ribosomal RNA (468 nucleotides) under uncultured bacterium. RNAcentral's name for it is "partial 16S ribosomal RNA". It matches the Rfam family "Bacterial small subunit ribosomal RNA", at positions 28 to 507 of the family's 1533-position model. The record is from RNAcentral.